Anoplophora glabripennis (Asian longhorned beetle) is the source of this 2862-nucleotide RNA transcript. It is a transcript of the gene named protein NDRG3, with no coding region annotated. Lineage: Eukaryota; Metazoa; Arthropoda; Insecta; Coleoptera; Cerambycidae. The record is from RefSeq and is a predicted model, not a curated record. The transcript has 10 exons.
CACUUACAGGCAGGGAAACGUCAUAAAAGUGAAGUAUUUAAUAGUAGGUGUUUGUGUAAUUUGUUAUUUUUAAUAAAUAUAACGAAUUUUUAUUCGAGUCGUGUUUGGCGAUAUGCCGGGGAGCCCGAGUGGCUCGUACCGAUCCCUUACCGGUUCGAGCGACGUCUAUCGCUCCACCACCGUGUCGGGGGGGAAUACCGCCACAGGUCUGCUGGAUGGUGUCAAGAAAGCUUUUAGUUUUGUCUCGGGCGCCGCCGCCACCAAGGAGGAACGCCUGCUCCAAAGGGAUCCUCGGGCCGUGGGGCCCAUCGUUAUUUCCACCAGGACUGAUAGUGCAAACAUUAACACAAACAGAAAAAUGCCUGCUUCCGGAAUAGCAGAAGAGGCUGCCCUUUUGGGUACAAUGCCUUCCGACAGCAUGGACGAUAUUGAAUUGAAAAAUAUUCAGUUGCAAUUCCCCUCAGCCCGAUCGCUCUCUAGAGAUGAUUCUUCGGCUCAAGAAGAAAUUGUGGAAACCGAUCGCGGGAAUAUUGUUGUGGCUAUUCAAGGUUCAAGGAAUAAACCAGCUAUUUUGACGUAUCAUGAUUUGGGACUUAACUAUAUUUCAAGUUUCCAGGCAUUUUUCAAUUACAUUGACAUGAGAGCAUUAUUAGAAAAUUUCUGUGUUUACCACGUGAAUGCCCCAGGACAAGAGGAGGGAGCUCAAACUCUCCCAGAAGAUUACGUUUACCCGACAAUGGACGAACUGGCAAAUCAGAUUAGUUACGUGCUGACCCACUUUGGUAUAAAACAGUUCAUAGGAUUUGGAGUCGGGGCCGGCUCCAAUGUUUUGUGCCGGUUUGCAUUAAGCCACCCCAGCCAAGUAUCCGCUCUCUGCCUGAUAAAUUGUGUGAGCACCCAAGCCGGCUGGAUCGAGUGGGGUUACCAGAAGCUCAACGCCAGGCACCUCCGGUCGAAGGGUAUGACACAGGGAGUUUUAGAAUAUUUGAUGUGGCACCACUUCGGAAGGCAUACUGAAGAAAGGAAUCACGACUUGGUUCAAGUGUAUAAGAGUUACUUCGAGAGGAAUGUGAAUCCCACCAACUUGUCAUUGUUCAUCGACAGUUACAUCAGAAGAAACGAUCUAAAUAUUCACAGAGAAACGGACCCAGUGAAAAAGAAGACAGCCACUCUGAGUAUGCCUAUAUUGAACAUUACGGGUGCGUUUAGUCCACAGAUGGACGACACCGUGACGUUUAAUGGCCGUCUUGAUCCAACAAACUCUUCCUGGAUGAAGAUUUCGGAUUGUGGCAUGGUACUGGAGGAACAGCCGGCAAAAGUCAGUGAAGCUUUCAGGUUAUUUCUACAAGGCGAGGGAUACGCUGUACAAUUCAAGUGCCUCAAGUCUUGCUAAAUCAGUCAAUUGUAGUAAAUUAUACAUAAGCUUAGGGAAAUUAUCCGAUGUCUCGGAAAUUCGACACAUACUCUGCACUUACUCUAAUAACUUUGAUCUCACUGAACAGUAUUUAUGUGUCCAACAGUAUUCUAGAUAUAGUUCUAAAAAUUGGAGAUGGGAAACAAUGCUUCACCAAGUUUGGGAGUGUACAAGUAUUAUCCCUAAUUUUACAUUUUAAUGUCUCUUAAAAGACAACUUUGCGAAUUUGCGACACCACUACCAAUAUUUCAGUAUUGCCAAACUUGCCUUGUUCAAAAAGUUAGUGCAGUGUUUUAAGCAUUAUAACAAACAAGUUAAAGUAAGGGCUGAUGGUUGUUCACAAAUUUUGACGUUUGUAUGCCGUCAGGAUCCAGGGGGCAUUGCGAUCGACGCACUCAGAUCUGACUAAUUACGAUUUAUCAUCUGUUAUCAUAUUUAUCAUUUGUUACUACAUUAAUUACUUUUAUUGUACUGUCACAACAGUUUACGCGACGAAUUUGUUUCUUCUUGAAGCACCUUUCCUUAGAUCUGACGACGUUGAUACUCGGAACUGUCUUAAGUAACUUAAUGAAUUAAAAUAAAAACUAUGCCUUUAACAAUCUGUACUUUUAUCCAACUUUUGGGCAAAGGUAAUGUUGAUCGGCAUGACAAAUAAAACCACACCAAUUAUACAUAAAUUAUUAUUUUCUUUUGAUUAUUAAAUAAUUCCUUGAUCUAAGUGUAAUUGAUUUCUAGAGUCUACAAAUACACUAUUUAAUAAGAGUUUGUCUGAACUGUUGUGAAUCGGACGUAAAAGAUUUUCCAAAUGUAUCUAGAUUAUGUUCCAAAAAUAUGUCCAAUGGAGAUAGGAAUUUCAAUUAUGAGAGUCUAGAGAUAGCCCAUUCAGUUUGUUCGAAGCUUCCGAUAUGCACACUUCUCUUGACCCCUAAUUUAAGAAAAAUAUCUGAUAGGUUAGGUCAGGUUAGGCUUUUUCUGCAUGUAAACAUACAAAAAAGACCUAAAUCGUGAAAAUGAUUCCAUUAAGUUAUCUCUUACGUCACAUAAGAAGCUCAAAGCAAAGUGAAUUGACUGUCUCUAGAGUCUUCGUGCGAGAACAGAUAAGGUGUGCAGUUUCAGUGGCAGAAAGCAGGCAGCCUUUGCGCAGAUAUAACGCAGUUUUUGUCCCCUCUGUCCCAGCCCAUUUGUUUACUUCAGACGAAUUAGAGUGAGGCAGAGUACCAACAUGCAAAAAGCUUUCGUAUAAAAUGGCACUAAGCGCAGUUUGAUGAAAUUCACUGAUUUAGCAGGCGUUGGGACACAGAUGUGUAGUUUUGGCCGAUGUAGUCAAGGUCUCUAUCAUGUUGUUUUAGCCGUUCAAGUCGGGCGCAGACGGUCUAGCUGUAUGUCAUUCGAAGUUGCUCCUUUGUCACCAACGAAAAUGGCACUGUUUCGUAAAGCAUCAUUGGAGG